This 145-nucleotide small nucleolar RNA is filed under the name Ornithorhynchus anatinus (platypus). Lineage: Eukaryota; Metazoa; Chordata; Mammalia; Monotremata; Ornithorhynchidae. The record is from RNAcentral.
CUCCUCUCAGGGUUGCACCUGGAGUGUUUCCAGUACUCCAGUACUCUACCAGUCUCGGCUAUGGGAGGGAGAGUCAAGCAGAGCCUACCCACUCCACUCCUAGCUUGGGCAGUGGCUAGGGAGUGGAAGGCAAUCUGCUACAAGU